UACGUAGGUGACAAGCGUUGUCCGGAUUUACUGGGCGUAAAGCGCGCGCAGGCGGUCUUCCAAGUCAGUGGUGAAAGCCCGGAGCUCAACUCCGGAACUGCCAUUGAAACUGUAAGACUUGAGGAUGAGAGAGGUGAGUGGAAUUCCCAGUGUAGAGGUGAAAUUCGUAGAUAUUGGGAAGAACACCGGUGGCGAAGGCGGCUCACUGGCUCAUAUCUGACGCUCAGGCGCGACAGCGUGGGGAUCAAACAGG
This 253-nucleotide ribosomal RNA is filed under the name uncultured bacterium. RNAcentral's name for it is "partial 16S ribosomal RNA". It matches the Rfam family "Bacterial small subunit ribosomal RNA", at positions 524 to 776 of the family's 1533-position model. The record is from RNAcentral.